CUGUUAACAAUUGCUAUGUUUAACUUGGCUUCGGCUUCUUCUAAAGACAAUGAAAUGGAAGAUAUUCAUAAGAGAUUGUGCAGAAAGAAAGUCGUUUCCAGAAUUCAACAUUGAAAAGGAGGAAGCUCUGAAAAGAAAAUAUUUGCUACAUCUAUUGUAUCAUCAAGUUUCCUUUCCUUUUUUUUUCAAAAGCCGUCCUUUCAUUUUAGGUUUAAAAGCAUGGGGUGUAUGUGUCUGACAGACCGAUGAAAAAGGGGGCAGCUGGCUUUGAGUUUUUGGGUGAGUCUUAAGACCAUCUAUGGGUAAAUCGAGAUCAGAAAGUAUUUCAAGACAAGUAAUCCAUACUCCAUUCCUUAGGUCUAGCAACCACUUUUCUCAUUAUCUCCUCUGAACUUGCAGAUCAAUACAACAGACCCCAGAAUUGUAUCUUGCUGAUUUAUUAAAUUUCUAACAGACUGUGAGACUAAAAAGAGAUUUUGAAUACAUUCACCUUGUAGUAUCAAGCACAGUCAUUCUUUCUUUUGGCUAAUUAGACUUUUAAACUCCAACUAUUUUUUAAAAGUACAACAGUUUGAAUAAGGCUUCCUAAAAAUGCGCAGCAAAAUAAAUCUGAAUGUGACCUUUUAGAACUGACUUAAGGUGACAUUUAUUGGAAUUAGUUUCCUUUGUAACUAGAACUCAGAAAAAGAUCAAGUGACAAUCUCCCGGCAUUCAGUUUGGGUGAUAAUCUAUAGGGUCAAACUGAGGGAAGAUGUACUUGUGGUUUGCUGGAGAAGGCUCAAAUGUUACAUACAAGUGUUAAAAAUAUGGUGUGGGAAAGGUGUUACUCUUCUACACUAGUGCUUUUUUGCUUUUGUAACCUUUUUCACUUAUUUGGAAAUAAGUGGGCUGCAAAUCUAAAUAGCAGCAGCAGCAGCAAGCAACAUCAAUAUAUAAAAAUAAAUACUCUUCUGCAAUUGAAAUAAAAAGUAGGGAGGACAAUGAGAUUGUUUUCACUGUACACAUUUUCCUAAAUAUCUCUAAUGACUGUGAUUCAGCAUCUUUCCAUUGUCCUUUCAGCUCACAAAGAAAAGAAAAAAAAACCAAGUGCCUUAAUCACAAUCCUAAAUCCAGAAGAGUGAUCCUAUGCAUUCUUACUCUGAAGUAAGUCAUUUGAAAGUGAGCAUGGGACUGUAGGCAUACUUUUAAAGUAUACUUUUCCAUCUAUAAGAUGCCCCCAUGUAUACAACACCCCCUAUUUU
Long non-coding RNA from Podarcis raffonei (Aeolian wall lizard), 1241 nucleotides. RefSeq lists it as uncharacterized. The transcript has 2 exons. The record is from RefSeq and is a predicted model, not a curated record. NCBI's taxonomy places the organism in Eukaryota, Metazoa, Chordata, Lepidosauria, Squamata, Lacertidae.